This 92-nucleotide transfer RNA is filed under the name Pseudomonadota bacterium. RNAcentral describes it as "tRNA-Ser". It matches the Rfam family "tRNA". From Rfam's summary of the family: Transfer RNA (tRNA) molecules are approximately 80 nucleotides in length. Their secondary structure includes four short double-helical elements and three loops (D, anti-codon, and T loops). Lineage: Bacteria; Pseudomonadati; Pseudomonadota. RNAcentral also lists the same sequence under 4 other names. The record is from RNAcentral.
GGAAGGGUGGCUGAGUCCGGUUUAAGGCACUCGACUCGAAAUCGAGCGUUGGGUUAAACCAACCGUGGGUUCGAAUCCCACCCCUUCCGCCA